CCUACGGGGGGCUGCAGUGGGGAAUAUUGGACAAUGGGGGGAACCCUGAUCCAGCCAUGCCGCGUGUGUGAAGAAGGCCCUCGGGUUGUAAAGCACUUUCAGUGAGGAAGAACGCCUGGUGGUUAAUACCCAUCAGGAAAGACAUCACUCACAGAAGAAGCACCGGCUAACUCCGUGCCAGCAGCCGCGGUAAUACGGAGGGUGCGAGCGUUAAUCGGAAUUACUGGGCGUAAAGCGCGCGUAGGUGGCUUGAUAAGCCGGUUGUGAAAGCCCCGGGCUCAACCUGGGAACGGCAUCCGGAACUGUCAAGCUAGAGUGCAGGAGAGGAAGGUAGAAUUCCCGGUGUAGCGGUGAAAUGCGUAGAGAUCGGGAGGAAUACCAGUGGCGAAGGCGGCCUUCUGGACUGACACCGACACUGAGGUGCGAAAGCGUGGGUAGCAAACAGGAUUAGAUACCCCAGUAGUC
Molecule: ribosomal RNA, 465 nt
Filed under: Vreelandella stevensii
Lineage: Bacteria; Pseudomonadati; Pseudomonadota; Gammaproteobacteria; Oceanospirillales; Halomonadaceae
Description: partial 16S ribosomal RNA
Rfam family: Bacterial small subunit ribosomal RNA
Source: RNAcentral